CCUACGGGCGGCAGCGGUGGGGAAUAUUGGACAAUGGGGGCAACCCUGAUCCAGCCAUGCCGCGUGUGUGAAGAAGGCCCUCGGGUUGUAAAGCACUUUCAGUGAGGAAGAACGCCUGGUGGUUAAUACCCAUCAGGAAAGACAUCACUCACAGAAGAAGCACCGGCUAACUCCGUGCCAGCAGCCGCGGUAAUACGGAGGGUGCGAGCGUUAAUCGGAAUUACUGGGCGUAAAGCGCGCGUAGGUGGCUUGAUAAGCCGGUUGUGAAAGCCCCGGGCUCAACCUGGGAACGGCAUCCGGAACUGUCAAGCUAGAGUGCAGGAGAGGAAGGUAGAAUUCCCGGUGUAGCGGUGAAAUGCGUAGAGAUCGGGAGGAAUACCAGUGGCGAAGGCGGCCUUCUGGACUGACACUGACACUGAGGUGCGAAAGCGUGGGUAGCAAACAGGAUUAGAUACCCGUGUAGUC
This 465-nucleotide ribosomal RNA is filed under the name Vreelandella stevensii. RNAcentral describes it as "partial 16S ribosomal RNA". It matches the Rfam family "Bacterial small subunit ribosomal RNA", at positions 338 to 795 of the family's 1533-position model. Lineage: Bacteria; Pseudomonadati; Pseudomonadota; Gammaproteobacteria; Oceanospirillales; Halomonadaceae. The record is from RNAcentral.